UCCAAUCAAGUGUUCAAAGUUAAGGUUUAAGAUGCAACAACAAGAUGAUACCACUCGAUCCGAUCAGACCCAAUUCUCCGCUAGGGGUGAAUUUCCUAAUGCAAUUUCCUUUAUAAUCAUAUCUCCAUCCUUUUUCACAUUUUUUUUUUUUUCAUUUUUUCGCAUUUCACUUCUCUUUCUUUUUUUUUUUUUUUUUUUUUUUUUGGGGCUAAGUUGUUUUUCGCUCUUAAUAGAUAAGCCGAAAAUCACGAGAUUGAACUUUUGAAGGUGAUCCAAAAUGUUCUCGUGUGGUUUCUCAUGCUCAUAAUGAAGCCAUCAGGGGAGCAGAGACCCAGAGCUAUCAAAAACUCAACAACCAACCAAACACUUCAACACAGAGAAUGAUAUUAGGAAUUUGCACUGAAAACACUCCCCCUAGCAUCUACCGGACAAAUCACGUCAAAAGUUGCUCAUCAGGGUGCUUCACC
This 467-nucleotide long non-coding RNA is filed under the name Salvia miltiorrhiza (redroot sage). RNAcentral describes it as "long non-coding RNA (SMIL_LNC010638)". Lineage: Eukaryota; Viridiplantae; Streptophyta; Magnoliopsida; Lamiales; Lamiaceae. The record is from RNAcentral.